AUACGUAGGUGGCAAGCGUUGUCCGGAUUUAUUGGGCGUAAAGCGAGCGCAGGCGGUUUCUUAAGUCUGAUGUGAAAGCCCCCGGCUUAACCGGGGAGGGUCAUUGGAAACUGGGAGACUUGAGUGCAGAAGAGGAGAGUGGAAUUCCAUGUGUAGCGGUGAAAUGCGUAGAUAUAUGGAGGAAAACCAGUGGCGAAGGCGACUCUCGGGUCUGUAACUGACGCUGAGGCGCGAAAGCGUGGGGAGCAAACAGGAUUAGAUACCCUGGUAGUCCACGCCGUAAACGAUGAGUGCUAAGUGUUGGAGGGUUUCCGCCCUUCAGUGCUGCAGCUAACGCAUUAAGCACUCCGCCUGGGGAGUACGGCCGCAAGGCUGAAACUCAAAGGAAUUGACGGGG
RNAcentral lists this ribosomal RNA (397 nucleotides) under uncultured bacterium. RNAcentral describes it as "partial 16S ribosomal RNA". It matches the Rfam family "Bacterial small subunit ribosomal RNA", at positions 523 to 918 of the family's 1533-position model. The record is from RNAcentral.